ACCCCGUUGGUGAGCCAGGGGCAUUUUAGUAAUUUUGACCCGAGAAGGGUAAAACUGUGAAUUUAAUUUAUUUAUGUGCUUAUGAACUAUAUUAUUAUAUAGUAUAUCUGGUGUGUCCUUUUUCAGGUGUGUUCUGACAAGUUGGCGCGGUAUAGUCACAACCGGGUAUUUCGGGCCGAACCGGGUUUCGGGCUGAAAUACAAUUUUGGGAUGUUUAAUUGGCAUUUUAUUUUUAUACAAGAAAUCUGAAAUUUAUUAUUUGAGUGUGUGAAAUGUGAUAAUUAUAUUUUUUUUUUACCCUUAUAUGCUUGAAAAUGGGAAUUUGGCCCUAAGGGCAAUGUGGUAAUUGUGUAUUUUGGGUUAUGAUUCAUUAAAAGGGAAAUAUUAAGCAAAAUGAGAUUUUAUUUCUGCAUUUUACUCCAACCCUAGCAGCCAGCCUCUCCCUCUCUCAAAAACUCAUUUUUUUAGCUUUGAUUUUGUGGUGAAUUGCUUGUGGAAGAAAGCUUAGUUUUGGAGAUUUAAAGAUUUGCUCUUGCUUGGAUUUGAGCUCGUUCCGAGCUCUCUCGGAAUAUCUGGAAUUUAAAUGCCCAGUUUUUAAUUUAUGGAAAUGGAUUUUGUGUAUCCGAGAAUUAUGACUAGGAUUACCGGCACUUGGUCAAGAGCACCCGGGGAUUUGGAAUCUCCAUAUUUGCGGGACAUCAGGAAAGGGUAAAUCUAUCUCUGAUCAACCAUGAGUAUGGGAGUUGGGUGAUGUAUGUACAUGUUCGUGUCACACUAGACCAAGCGGGUUGGGGUCUACCAGUGUUGAAACUUUUGUAACUCUAUUUUGCCGCUUAGGUCGGUUAAGGAGAAAAGACUUGUAAUAUUUUUUAAAAUGAUUUUCGGGAUCCCGAAAUAUGUAACUUUUGUUUGUAAGGUUAAAAUUAUUACAUGUUUAUUUUCAUUC
This is a long non-coding RNA of Cannabis sativa, 946 nucleotides long. RefSeq lists it as uncharacterized. The transcript is spliced from 3 exons. The record is from RefSeq and is a predicted model, not a curated record. Lineage: Eukaryota; Viridiplantae; Streptophyta; Magnoliopsida; Rosales; Cannabaceae.